GUUUCAAACUUUCAAUCUUACGUAAACUAAUUAUAGUAUGUUAAAAAAAUACAUGUUUGGAUAAUCGUACACCGACUGCUAUUAUAAUACUCAUUCUUGCUAUAUACGUAAAGUUACCGAACUGUUUACAAACUUACAGAAAGAAACAUCCAAACACUCCCUAAAACAACAACAAAGUGACGAACAAAGCAAAAGAAAUAAUGAAUUUAACUUCAAAUUCACAGGUAUUGUUACCAAAAUUUAGCUAAAUCUAAAACUGCAUUGCGUACCGACGGUACUGUUACAAAUCCCGAACCGGUACGGUACCACAUGGUACUGAUACUGAAGUUUAGCUUAAUUUAAAACAAAAUACAAUACAAUAUAUGAUCGGUCGGUACCGGUACCGGCAUAGUACAUUACCAGUACUGGUAUCGGUACAGGUAUUCGGUAAAAAACUUCUCAAUUCUCAUCCCUGACUUAAACAAUAAUCAACCACUUAACUCACUGAUGUCAUCCAUGAAUUGACCAAAAUUCAUACUCAAAACUGAGUUAAAACUAUAUCAAAUCAUAUGAAUUUUAUUUCAAUCUCUACAUCUCCUAAACAGAGUCAACAAAAUAAAAACAAUUAACAUCUACAUACAACCACAGAAUGAACAGAAUGAUUAACACCUAUACCUGAUCAAUUUCGUCCCACCACCGGAACUCCGCUUGCAUCUUAUUCCGACAAACAUUAUACAAAAGCGUAGGGUAAAACAGGAUCCGAGCACCGGCACCUACCAACGCUCUCUUAGCAUCCACCGUAACAACAUACCUACUAACACUAUAAUCAACAAUUCGUUGAUCACUUUUCACAUCCGUCAAAUCAUCCAAAUCCUCGAUCUUCAUGUCACAGAUCGCAACCAAAAUUCGAACAAAACCAAAACCGUAACCCUAACAAUCAACACGAUCGCUUUAACUAAACACCGAGACGUAAUUGCAAGGUUUAAGAGACGAAAAUAGAGACGAUACGCAACAUGAUCAUUGAUGAGUGGUUGAAAACCCUAGAAAUAAUGAAUUGAGCUAUUAUGGCAAAAUUGUACCGAAUUGAGGAUGAAAUUGAUCGGUUUGAAGUGGAAAUUAAAUAA
RNAcentral lists this long non-coding RNA (1103 nucleotides) under Helianthus annuus (common sunflower). Its description in RNAcentral is "hypothetical non coding rna". Lineage: Eukaryota; Viridiplantae; Streptophyta; Magnoliopsida; Asterales; Asteraceae. The record is from RNAcentral.